GGACAGGUGACCGAGUGGCUGAAGGUGCAGCAUUGGAAAUGCUGUGUACGGUUCGCUGUACCGUGGGUUCGAAUCCCACCCUGUCCG
This 87-nucleotide transfer RNA is filed under the name Anaerolinea sp. RNAcentral's name for it is "tRNA-Ser". It matches the Rfam family "tRNA". From Rfam's summary of the family: Transfer RNA (tRNA) molecules are approximately 80 nucleotides in length. Their secondary structure includes four short double-helical elements and three loops (D, anti-codon, and T loops). Further hydrogen bonds mediate the characteristic L-shaped molecular structure. tRNAs have two regions of fundamental functional importance: the anti-codon, which is responsible for specific mRNA codon recognition, and the 3' end, to which the tRNAs corresponding amino acid is attached (by aminoacyl-tRNA synthetases). tRNAs cope with the degeneracy of the genetic code in two manners: having more than one tRNA (with a specific anti-codon) for a particular amino acid; and 'wobble' base-pairing, i.e. permitting non-standard base-pairing at the 3rd anti-codon position. The record is from RNAcentral. Lineage: Bacteria; Bacillati; Chloroflexota; Anaerolineae; Anaerolineales; Anaerolineaceae.